UGGGUUUUUCACGCUCAACAGUUUCCCGUACGUAUCAAGAAUGGUCCAGCACCCAACGGACAUCCAGCCAACUUGAAAACUGUGGGAAGGAUUGGAGUCAACACGGGCCAGCAUCCCUGUGGAAGGCUUUCGACACCUUGUAGAGUCCAUACCCCGACAAAUUGAGGCUGUGCCGAGGACAAAAGGGGGUGCAACUCAGUAUUAGAAAGGUGAUCCUAAUGUUUCGUAAACUCAGUGUAUUGCUCUGGUGAAGAUGCAGCAGUAUGCAAGGUGAGUGAAAACCACUGCAGUAUUGUUUGAAUGGGAUGAUAACUAACCAUUUGGUUCUUUGGUGCACAUGAUGAUGAUAGGCUAUAUGUGUAGUAAAUACUGGGAGAAGACCAGCUAAAUGCACAGGAUGAUGAUAGGCUAUAUGUGUAGUAAAUACUGGGAGAAGACCAGCUAAAUGCACAGGAUGAUGAUAGGUAGUAAAUACUGGGAGAAGACCAGCUAAAUGCACAUGAUGAUGAUAGGUAGUAAAUACUGGGAGAAGACCAGCUAAAUGCCUAAUUGUACUCUGUGCUGAUGAAACUGUGCAAGACCGACAAUUCUCUCAGAAAUACAUAACAUUGUACUGUGUCA
Molecule: long non-coding RNA, 621 nt
Organism: Coregonus clupeaformis (lake whitefish)
Lineage: Eukaryota; Metazoa; Chordata; Actinopteri; Salmoniformes; Salmonidae
Exons: 2
Source: RefSeq, a predicted model, not a curated record